Hydra vulgaris (swiftwater hydra) is the source of this 651-nucleotide long non-coding RNA. RefSeq lists it as uncharacterized. NCBI's taxonomy places the organism in Eukaryota, Metazoa, Cnidaria, Hydrozoa, Anthoathecata, Hydridae. The record is from RefSeq and is a predicted model, not a curated record.
UGUUUAUGUUCAAUCGUGUUAUUGCAUCGUUUUUGCAUAGUAUUGAAAUAUAUGAACUUUUUUUAUUGUAAAUCAAAAGUUUAUUUAAUUUUACGCAUAUGUUGCAUUUGUGGAUAAGUUUAAUUACUGCUUUUUAAACCUUUACACAACUACAGAAGAGUUACAAAAGGCUAAGGCGCAUUCAGAUUUUGAAUCUAUAUAGUUAAUGUUUUUUGGUAAAAAAUAGAUGUUACCAAAUUUAUUAUUAAGUUUAUUAAUUUAAAGCGUUCAUCUUUUCCAUAACUAUAAUUUUUUACAUUUUUAUUUGUUUAGUUUCAACUUCAACGUCAUAUCCUUCUAAUAACAGAGUAUCAGUAAUCUCUGUAGCGAUAUUAGUUCCUGUUUUAACUGUUCUUGUUGCAGUUGUUUUUGCUACUGCUGUGUUAAAGUUUCGCAAAAAAAAAUACGAAACACCUUUGAAUCUAAAUCCUUUUACUAUGGAUCAAUACAUUGGAUGUAAUGAAAUAUCACCAGAUGAAUGGGAAAUAUUUCCAGAAGAUAUUAUUAAGGAUAAAAAAAUUGGAGAAGGAGCAUUUGGUACAGUUUUUAAUGCAAAACUUAGUUCGACUGUUCUUUCAAAAAAAAAUUAUAAGAAAGAGAAAUCUGGAUUUC